UAUGCCGAUUUGCCGCCCUCUUCUUACCUGGAUUUUCCGCCCCGGUGGUUUCGUCUUCCCAAUCGCACAGCCACAGCCUCCGCCGCACCGCCGAGCUACAUUGUGAUAUCUGCAAGGAAAGGUGAGUUUGAAAUUGUAUAUGAAAGAGGUGGACAAACAUGUGAGCAUGUUCAACUUGCAAAGACUCUUGGAGUUACAAAGCUCCUCAUUGUUGUCAAUAAAAAGGAUGAACCCACUGUCAAUUGGUCAAAAGAAAGGUAUGAUGAAAUUGAGGAAAAAUGUUACUUUUUUUGAAGUCAUCCGGAUAUAAUGUGAAGAAAGAAAAUGUCGGUUCCAUCAGACCUGCAAAAAGUGUUGGAUUAACUGUGAAGCAGGCUGGUGUACUAUUACUUGAUGAAGAUGGAACUACUGUUAUGGCAGAAGAUGUUGUUAAUGGAGAUAAGGAGCUCAUCCUUUCCCUGCUAUGAAACAUGUUUGUGCACUUGCAGAUAAGUGUCUAACUGACCUCAUCUCUAAGAUUUUUUCCUAUCUGGUUGAGAAGCCAGAGACAUUUGAAGAGGGUGUCUGAAGGCAUAUAAUCUGGAUGAAGACCUAGCUUUCAAAGGACUCUUUGUUGUGCUUCUGUACGAAGAAGAGGAAUGUGAGAUGGGUUGAGUCCAACCGUAAUAUUUGUAGAAGGAGGCUGCAAUGGGAGGUCUAAAAAGGAUCAAACAUUAAUGAAUCCAAAUCAUUAUGUUGUACCAGUUAUUCUUCCAAUAAGGUGGCUAAAGCUGAUGAUAGACUUCAAAUUGUAGUGUAUUAAGUAUUCUUUUAUUCUGUUAUUACUUUAUUUGG
Ipomoea nil (Japanese morning glory) is the source of this 834-nucleotide long non-coding RNA. RefSeq lists it as uncharacterized. Lineage: Eukaryota; Viridiplantae; Streptophyta; Magnoliopsida; Solanales; Convolvulaceae. The transcript is spliced from 6 exons. The record is from RefSeq and is a predicted model, not a curated record.